UCCUACGGGAGGCAGCAGUAGGGAAUCUUCCGCAAUGGACGAAAGUCUGACGGAGCAACGCCGCGUGAGUGAUGAAGGUUUUCGGAUCGUAAAGCUCUGUUGUUAGGGAAGAACAAGUGCCGUUCGAAUAGGGCGGUACCUUGACGGUACCUAACCAGAAAGCCACGGCUAACUACGUGCCAGCAGCCGCGGUAAUACGUAGGUGGCAAGCGUUGUCCGGAAUUAUUGGGCGUAAAGGGCUCGCAGGCGGUUUCUUAAGUCUGAUGUGAAAGCCCCCGGCUCAACCGGGGAGGGUCAUUGGAAACUGGGGAACUUGAGUGCAGAAGAGGAGAGUGGAAUUCCACGUGUAGCGGUGAAAUGCGUAGAGAUGUGGAGGAACACCAGUGGCGAAGGCGACUCUCUGGUCUGUAACUGACGCUGAGAGC
RNAcentral lists this ribosomal RNA (425 nucleotides) under uncultured Bacillus sp. RNAcentral's name for it is "bacterial SSU rRNA". It matches the Rfam family "Bacterial small subunit ribosomal RNA", at positions 337 to 754 of the family's 1533-position model. The record is from RNAcentral. Lineage: Bacteria; Bacillati; Bacillota; Bacilli; Caryophanales; Bacillaceae.